CAGCAGUAGAUUGAUACUAUAGUAGACUGAUACUGUUGCAUGGCUUGCCAAGCAUGCAGCCUUUAUUAGCUUUUGCCAGAUGGUCUAUGAUAUCUGUACACCAAGGCUUCUGUGGAUGUAGCAGUAGUCCAUCUCCUUACCAUGACAAACAAGGAUGCCAUCUCAGUUCUCCUACAGCUUACAGAAACAUGGACUUACUUACAGAAUUUGUCAUGUCUGCAAAUAUGUGCUUAUGGUGUGCUUCAAAUUCCCACUGCUUAUAAAGAAAAACUUGCACAAGCUUGAAAGAAGAAUGUUACAGAAGAAUAAAAAUCUGGAUUGUAAAACGAGGAAAUGGAAGUAACACAGAUUAUUAAGAAGCUGAACAUGAGCAUCUACCAGCCGCAAGAAGGAUUUGACGUGGUAACACAUAGGAGUUCAUCCUUACAGACUGAUCUGCACGCUCCAAAAGACAGAAUAGUAACAUAGUAAUUGAGACAGAACCUAUGUUAGUUAAAAAAAAAAAAAAAAUCUUGUCA
Molecule: non-coding RNA, 518 nt
Organism: Struthio camelus australis
Lineage: Eukaryota; Metazoa; Chordata; Aves; Struthioniformes; Struthionidae
Source: RefSeq, a predicted model, not a curated record